AUGAACGCUGGCGGCGUGCCUAAUACAUGCAAGUCGAGCGCACAGACGAGGAGCUUGCUCCUCUGACGUUAGCGGCGGACGGGUGAGUAACACGUGGAUAACCUACCUAUAAGACUGGGAUAACUUCGGGAAACCGGAGCUAAUACCGGGUAAUAUAUUGAACCGCAUGGUUCAAUAGUGAAAGACGGUUUUGCUGUCACUUAUAGAUGGAUCCGCGCCGCAUUAGCUAGUUGGUAAGGUAACGGCUUACCAAGGCGACGAUGCGUAGCCGACCUGAGAGGGUGAUCGGCCACACUGGAACUGAGACACGGUCCAGACUCCUACGGGAGGCAGCAGUAGGGAAUCUUCCGCAAUGGGCGAAAGCCUGACGGAGCAACGCCGCGUGAGUGAUGAAGGUCUUCGGAUCGUAAAACUCUGUUAUUAGGGAAGAACAAAUGUGUAAGUAACUAUGCACGUCUUGACGGUACCUAAUCAGAAAGCCACGGCUAACUACGUG
Molecule: ribosomal RNA, 496 nt
Filed under: uncultured bacterium
Lineage: Bacteria
Description: partial 16S ribosomal RNA
Rfam family: Bacterial small subunit ribosomal RNA
Source: RNAcentral